GGAAUCACUGGAAUGGAUCUCAAAGUCGUCCAGGUUCUCCUGGAUCUUCACGUUGGCUAAUGUGGUCUGGCACUAUCCAGUUAGAUUUUUACCUCAAAGACAUGGUUUAUACUCAGACGUGUUGUGAAAAUUCCUGAUUCCUAAAUGAUUUUGAGCGUAGUCCAGGCCAAUUCCCAACAGCUUUUAUUCACCGUUAACCAUUGCAGUUCCCAUUAGAUAAUGGUGAAGUUCCCAUAGAUAAUGGUAAAGGAAGUAAGUUCUAAACUUAGUAUUUUGGAUGUAGUUGUAUGAAGUUGGUGUAAAAUAUUCAACAUGGAUCGUGCCUUAAAAUCAAAGAAAUGAUGUUUUAAAAGGUAGUAACUUUUUUUUAAUGGAGGCUAAAACUCUGUAUUAUGUCUGGCCAACCAUGACAGAGAGAUUUGUAUAUUGAAAAAUAUGUGUCUUUUUCUGUUCUCUGUCAUCAUUUCCUUUUCUUUUUUAGUUUAUAUAUAUAUAUAUAUAUGUGUGUGUGUAUAUAUAUAUACAUAUAUAUUUAGUUUAUAAAUUAGAACUCAUACUAUGAUGGUUUUUCUCUAAUUUCAUUAUUUCUUUUUUGACUUUGUAAUUGCAUUUACCUUUUAAAUUGCAUUAAAAUUAUAAAGUAGGUCUGGCCUUGUGGUGAAGCAGAUAAAGCCACCUUUUGCAACACUGGCAUACCAUCAUACCAUAUUGGUGUGCUGGUUAAAGUCCUGGUUGCUCUACUCUUUUUUUUAAAAUUAAUUUAUGUAUUUGAAGGUCAGAGUUACACAGAGACAGAGACACAGACACAGAGAUCUUCCGUCUACUGGUUCAUCCCCAAAUGGCUGCAAUGGCUGGAUCUAGGCCAAUCUGAAGCCAGGAGCCAGGACAGGAGCCAGGAGCUUCUUCCAGGUAGCAGAGGCCAAAGCACUUGGACCAUCAUUUGCUGCUUUCCCAGGUGCUUUGGCAGGGAGCUGGAUCAGAAGUGGAGCAUCCAGGUAUCAAACCAGUGCCUGUAAGGGAUUCCAGGUCUCAGGCAGUGGCUUAACUUGCUCGACCACAGUGGGAACCCCUGCUCUACUUCUGAUCCAGCUUACUGCUAAUGUACCCUGAGAGGCAGCAGAAAACAGCCCAAGUCUUGGGUUCAUGCCACUUAUCUCACGUGGGAGACCCAGAUGGAGUUUCUGUCUCCUGUUCUCAGCCUGGCCCAGACCUGGUAGCCAUCUGGAGAGUGAACCAGUGGAUGGAGGAUCUUUCUCUCUCUCUCUCCCUGUCUUCCUUUGUUGCUCUACCUUCCAAAUAAAUAAAUAAACAAAUCUUGCAAAAAAUAUAUAUGUUACUAAGUAAGCAAAUAUAUUUUCUAAUAUAAAUUAAUGUUGGAAAAGAUCUACUUAAAAACACAAGUUCCUAUUGAUGGUUUAUUUGUUAAUUGUCCAUGUUUACCACUAAACAUCAGGAAUAAGCAAGUGGAAAAUUUGUUUUAUUUCUGGUAUUCAGAUGAUGCCAAACAUAUAAUAGGUGCUAAUUAAAAUUUAUUCAAUGAUUGAAAAAAUAAGUGAAUGAACAUAAUGGUGGCAGGAAAAUUUGCUUUAGCAAAAUUGAUUGUAUAUUAAAUGAGAAAUGAAAAAUCGUUUUAACUGAAUGUAGUUUGACCUUCUUUUCUCUUCUUUUUUGUUUACUUGACACUUGAUGAAAUAAAUAUGGUAUCAAGUUAUAGUUUAAUAAUUUGUUUAAACAGCCUUGAUUUUCUUUUCCAUUCACACUUACCAUUCUUUUAAAUCACAAGAAGUUAAUUCUUCUUUUGAAAGCUUUAUUUAUCUGUUUAUUUGAAAGGCAGAAUGAUAGAGAUCCUUAUCUGCUGGGUCACUCUUCAAAUGCCUGCAAGAGUUCGGGCUGGGUCAGACUGAAGCCAGGAGCUGGGAACUCUUUCCCUGUCACUCACAUGUCAUUCACUGUCUUCCCAGGUGCAUUAGCAGGAAGGUGCGUGAAUUGGAAACAAAGUGCUGGGACUCAAGCCCAAGUACUCUGAUGUGGGAUUCAGACCUCCAAGUGGCAGCUUAACCACUGUGCCACAGCGCUCACCCUGAGAAACUCAUUCUUUUAAAAAAAAUUUUUAAAAAGAUGUAUUCUUAUUUAUUUGAGAGGCAGAGUCACAGAGAGAGAGGGAGAGACAGAGAGAGAGAGAUAAAUCUUCCAUGUGCUGGUUCACUCACCAAAUGGCUGCAAUGACCAGGGUUGUGCCAGGCAGAAGCCAGGAACAACUUCUGGGUCUCCCACAUGGGAAACAGUGGCCACACACUUUGGCCAUCUUCCUCUGAUUUCCCAGGUGCAUUAGCAGGGAGGUGGAUCGGAAGUGCGGAAGACAGGUCUUGAAUCAGUGCCUGUGUGGGUUACCAGCAUCGCAGGUGAUGGUUUAACCUACUACACAAUGCUGGCUCCAAGGAGCUAAAUCUUUUGACUAGGUUCUGUAAUUCCAGUUGUUAAGUAGAUUCUAAAUGUGUAUAUGGGAUAGCAAUUUAAAGAAGCCCAUGAAAGCUUUUAACACUUAAAGAUAGUAUAGGAUGGGGCCGGCGCAAUAGGUUAAUCCUCCGCCUGCGGUGCCGGCAUCUCAUAUUGGCACCGGGUUCUAGUCUCGGUUGCUCCUCUUCGAGUCCAGCUCUCUGCUGUGGCCCAGGAGGACAGGGGAGAAUGGCCCAAUUGCUUGGGCCUCUGCACCCACAUGGGAGACCAGGAAGAGGCUUGGCUCCUGGCUCCUGGCUCCUGGUGUCGGAUCAGCGUAGCUCUGGCCGUAGUGGCCAUUUGGGGAGUGAACCAAUGGAAGGAAGACCUUUCUCUCUGUCUCUCUCUCUCACUGUCUAUAACUCUACCUGUCAAAUAAAAAAAAAAGUUAAAAAAAAAA
This is a non-coding RNA of Oryctolagus cuniculus (rabbit), 2896 nucleotides long. NCBI's taxonomy places the organism in Eukaryota, Metazoa, Chordata, Mammalia, Lagomorpha, Leporidae. The record is from RefSeq and is a predicted model, not a curated record.